RNAcentral lists this ribosomal RNA (468 nucleotides) under uncultured bacterium. RNAcentral describes it as "partial 16S ribosomal RNA". It matches the Rfam family "Bacterial small subunit ribosomal RNA", at positions 28 to 507 of the family's 1533-position model. The record is from RNAcentral.
GACGAACGCUGGCGGCGUGCUUAACACAUGCAAGUCGAACGGAAAGGCCCUGCUUUUGUGGGGUGCUCGAGUGGCGAACGGGUGAGUAACACGUGAGUAACCUGCCCUUGACUUUGGGAUAACUUCAUGAAACUGGGGCUAAUACCGGAUAGGAGCUCCUGCUGCAUGGUGGGGGUUGGCACGUUUCGGCGGUUGGGGAUGGACUCGCGGCUUAUCAGCUUGUUUGUGGGGUAGUGGCUUACCAAGGCUUUGACGGGUAGCCGGCCUGAGAGGGUGACCGGGCCCAAUGGGGCUCAGAGACGGGCCAGACUCCCACGGGGGGGACGGGGGGGGAAAAUUUUGGAAAGGGGGGAAGCCCGCGAUCGACAAAUCGCGGGUGGGAGAAGCGGCGUCGGGUUGUAAACCGCUUUCGCCUGUGACGAAGCGUGAGUGACGGUAAUGGGUAAAGAAGCACCGGCUAACUACGUG